Scylla paramamosain (green mud crab) is the source of this 3932-nucleotide RNA transcript. RefSeq lists it as uncharacterized. The transcript is spliced from 4 exons. The record is from RefSeq and is a predicted model, not a curated record. NCBI's taxonomy places the organism in Eukaryota, Metazoa, Arthropoda, Malacostraca, Decapoda, Portunidae.
AGGCUCCCAUGUAUGGGGAUGAUCAAGUCAUGCAAGUGUAUUAAACAAGAUAGGUGGAUUGAGUCUGCAGUUUUUCACCUUAUUAACUCCCUUCAUUUAACUGUCUUGAAUCUCACUGCUGCAGUUUUGCAUUUUGUCCUAUCUUCUAUUGAUAUUUCAAUAUUUACUGCUUUUCUGAACCUGCUAACUACUGUAUAUGCCUUAUCCCUGCUAAAAUAAUGCCUAACGUCAUUUAAAAAAUGUGUUUGUAAUUGAAGAGUUUAUAAUGAUGUUGCAAUUGUGUGAAAAUAAUAAUUUUUAAGUGCUACUCUUCAUUUGAAGGAAUUACUUAGCAUUGAAAUAAGUCAACUAGUCUCUCUUUUUGUAUGGUGACACCAGCAAAACCAGAUGCACAUGGGAUAGCCAUUACCCAUCUCGUUUCUUGGCUGGAGAAGAGGAACAAAGAGGAAAAUUAUUAAUGACAAGGAAAAAAUACAUUACUUGUGCCCAACGUGUUGAAUUAGCUGAUGCAAUUUAGGGUUUCACUGAAAACACCAAUUUAUGACAGUAGGAACUGGUAUUCUUAUAUUCAAAACCUCUUUACUAACAAUGUCUUAUCAGAAGGUGAAGGUGAUGGCUUCACAGAAACAGUAGCUGUCAUUAGUGCAGUUUUCAGUUUGAGUAUAUCUGAUUAGGAAGAGAUUAAAAAAUCUACAUGUAUGAACCAGUGUAUUACAGUAAACCCUCAAUAAACCAAACUAAUUGGGAGGAGAUACCUGAUGGUUUAUCAGAAAAUUUUAUUUAUAAGAUGGUCAAAAUAGCACCUUGUAAACACCUUGUAAACUGACUGAGGGUCAGUUUAUACGGUGACGCAUUCAGUAAUAUGUAUGUUGAAAAUGGGUGGCUUCUUUUCGUACAUUUUUUUACAGUAGAUCUUUAGUGGUAUACUACUUGCUAUACUGUAAUAUAGAUAAUAAGAUUGAUCAAUUAAAAGUAUUUUUGACUGUUACACUCACUAAACAAGGAAGAGAUACUGUGUUGCUGUGUUGGGAAUGUUGCUGUGAGACGAAGGGGAGGAAGCCAAGUGACACACAUACCACCACACUACACCAUAGCUCACCACCACCACCACCACCACCACCACCACCACCACUGUAAUGUAUUACACUAUGCUGUACUGAACAGUAGUUAUUCAACACUUAAUACUACAUUAAACACACUAAUGUUAUCUUAACACUACACUUAACACUAAACACUUAAACCUACAUAACUUUACACUGUGCACUUUCUUUACUUAUCAUUGUCAUCAAAGGAGUGAAAAUUUGUUAUGGUAGUUCUGAUGUAACCUGUGGUGAGUAUGAGAAAGUACUGAGUAAGCUCAUUGAGGAUGUUGGAGCAACUGACACAUUGUCUCUGAAUCUUGCUUCUGCUUCUUUCUAGCUGGAAGAUCAGGUGAUGGAGUAGCCUUGAAGUAUUUGGAGAUUUUCUACUGGACUUUUCUGGCCUGCUGUUGUUUCAUUAAAAAGCUGUGAACUAUGUGGAACAUCUCAUAACUCUCAACCAGAGGUCCACCAACUUUUGUCAGCUAGGGCCAGCAGUGUGUCAUUUGCAUCAAUCACUGCUGCAGUUGACAGUCCACCUUCGCUUCUUCCUGUUCCGCAAGUCAGUUGGGUGAAGUCAACUUUUGCACAAUUUCAUCUUCUGUUUGAUGGCAACCAUGCAAGUCAGCUUCCUUUUCUACCCAAUCCUCCAUCUCCUCUAUGAGAAUAGAACCCUGUCCAGCUGCAGCCAACAUUUCAGCUGCCCUUGGUGCCUUGAACCCCUCCAAAUCAUGAAGCUGAGCUGGAGUUUGGGGUUUUCAAAAGUUUGCACCAGGCAUUCUUAAGUGUGGAGAAAGGCACUGCUUUCCAUGCCUAUUCCCAGUUACAAAUCUCGUCCUUGAUGUUAUAUUUCUUGAAAUUGUACAAUGUUUUCCUCCACAUGUUGUUUUCAUAGCCUACUUCAUCUAUUCCAUCCUCCAUGACGACGAGGCACUUCUACAGGUAGAGAUUGUGGUAGACUCAUUUCUCACUCUUGAUAAUCCCUGGUCUAUAGGUUGAAUCAGGGCAGUCGUGUUUGGUGGCAGGAACAAAACUCAUUUUUUUCAUCCUUGCUGCAGAGCUUUGCUGAUGAUGGAUGUGCUGGAGAAGUGUUCAUUAGCAGUACAGUCUUGACCCUGUCAAUGCCAAUGCCAUACAGUUUUUGAUGUUGACAGCUGGCUCAAAAAUAUUGUGGAAUCAAUCACCCAUAGUAUCCUGAGUAAACCAUGCUGAAGCACUGGUGCAGAAUGCUACAGGUAUUAAAUUCUUAAGUGCCCUUGGCUUAGCACUUAACAACAACAGACUUCGGUCCAGUUCUGUUUAUAUUGCUGGAAGCCUAGGUGUUCCUGGGCAGAGACUUCCAGUAUAACCCAGUUUCAUCUGCAUUGUACAUUUGAAAGUCUUGGUAACACUCCAUUUCCCUCAACUUGUGAGACCUGUUCACAAAUGGAUCCACAAUACUGGCAUCAGCGCUAAGCAGCUCCCCAGUGAUGGCUUUGUUUACAAUGUCAUGGCACCGUCAAAACUGCCACAGCCAACCAUCACUACACUUCAAGUUGGUGUGGCCAAGAUGCUUAGCAAGUCUCUGUGCAGCAUGUUGUAUAUCCAUGCCAUGGACAGGUACACCUGCUCUCUCCUGGGUAUACCAUUUAUUAGCUUCAGCAAGGUUAUCCAUGGGAAGCUGUCUGUUCUGGUACACCUCCUUACUUUUCUUCCCACUUUCCAUCUCCCUUUGUCUUCCUGGCCUUGAUAAUAUCAUGAAGUGUUGUUUUCUUCAGGCCAUACUUGUCCAUCAGUUGAGCAUGUGACAUGUCCCUCUCAUGGUCCUGGAUUAUCUCAAACUUCUGAUGCACAGAGAGAAUCUUUUCUCCCUUUCUCCAUGAAGCAUGAGACGGUGAUGGAGUCUUACAAGAUGUGGUGGGAGUUUGGGAAGACAUUGUAGAUGUAUGUGUCACUGUGAGUGAGAGAGAGCACAUUAGCGAGGUACCACACUCUGUGAUAACCAGCCACACACUGAGCUGUGUUCAGUCAGCCCAGCCUAGGCCUGCGCCAGUAGUCAGCUUACCCAAGGGAUAUGCACAGCGUCACUGGCAUGUUUGGUCAACUUUCAAACUUGUCGAAUAAACCAAACAUAUGAUGAUGAUAAGUGCAAAUCGCAAGCACGAGGAUCCUUACAGCCUAGAAAUUCACAAUGCACCACCAACUCUGGACACAAUGGCUCGUCUUGAGCGCUACAUCCCACCCCUGUACAAGGUAAGCAAGGAGUGUGUCACCAUGCUGCGGAACAAGCCGAUCCGAGGCGCCCCAUUGGACUUCACAGGCGUCCUUUAAGAGACUGGAAUAUGUGUGGCCAUACCUGGCAGUGUAGAGGCUGUGCACAGCAGGCAACACUUGGUUCUCCAAUGAGAUACAAGAAGCAUUUCAGCAGGCAACACUUGGUUCUCCUAUGAGAUACAAGAAGCAUUUCAGCAGGCAACACUUGGUUCUCCUAUGAGAUACAAGAAGCAUUUCAGCAGGCAACACUUGGUUCUCCUAUGAGAUACAAGAAGCAUUUCAGCAGGCAACACUUGGUUCUCCUAUGAGAUACAAGAAGCAUUUCAGCAGGCAACACUUGGCUCUCCUAUGAGAUACAAGAAGCAUUUCAGCAGGCAAUACUUGGCUCUCCUAUGAGAUACAACCUUCAAAAAUUGUUUCAUGCCUCAGGAAUCAGUACAGAUCUUGACAUUACUGACACCCUAAGAAACCUGAAAACACAUAAAUUUUUCCUCACACAGCAUAGCAAAGACUUGACUCUUGACACCAAGCACUGAAGACAAACACAGGGGGCGGUGGGGGGUCAGUAUGACCUCUCUACCUGCCUUAAAAAUACCCUAA